GAUGUUGAACGCUAAAGAUCUGAAGAACAUGGGGAUUAUUACUGAAGUGAUAAGUCCUCUUGUUGAUAUGCCCAAGUAAAUCAUCCACAACAGAAGGAUUCCUUUGGAAUAUUCCCUAUCUUCUCAAAGCCAUAUACUUUGAAAGAGGCGGUAGAAUUUCUAAAGAAGUCUCAUGUUGGUGCUAUUCUGGCAGCUUCUGAAACUAUUU
This 208-nucleotide long non-coding RNA is filed under the name Lathyrus oleraceus (garden pea). RNAcentral's name for it is "Pisum sativum (pea) long non-coding RNA (PSAT_LNC036011)". The record is from RNAcentral. Lineage: Eukaryota; Viridiplantae; Streptophyta; Magnoliopsida; Fabales; Fabaceae.